GUACACUCCUACGGGAGGCAGCAGUGGGGAAUUUUGGACAAUGGGCGAAAGCCUGAUCCAGCAAUGCCGCGUGAGUGAAGAAGGCCUUCGGGUUGUAAAGCUCUUUUGUCAGGGAAGAAACGGUGAGAGCUAAUAUCUCUUGCUAAUGACGGUACCUGAAGAAUAAGCACCGGCUAACUACGUGCCAGCAGCCGCGGUAAUACAUAGGGUGCAAGCGUUAAUCGGAAUUACUGGGCGUAAAGCGUGCGCAGGCGGUUUUGUAAGUCUGAUGUGAAAUCCCCGGGCUCAACCUGGGAAUUGCAUUGGAGACUGCAAGGCUAGAAUCUGGCAGAGGGGGGUAGAAUUCCACGUGUAGCAGUGAAAUGCGUAGAUAUGUGGAGGAACACCGAUGGCGAAGGCAGCCCCCUGGGUCAAGAUUGACGCUCAUGCACGAAAGCGUGGGGAGCAAACAGGAUUAGAUACCCCUGUAGUCC
Molecule: ribosomal RNA, 473 nt
Filed under: uncultured organism
Description: partial 16S ribosomal RNA
Rfam family: Bacterial small subunit ribosomal RNA
Source: RNAcentral